UGGGACUUGUCUUAUGAAUGGUGUGAAUC
This 29-nucleotide non-coding RNA is filed under the name Homo sapiens (human). The record is from RNAcentral. Lineage: Eukaryota; Metazoa; Chordata; Mammalia; Primates; Hominidae.